RNAcentral lists this unclassified non-coding RNA (229 nucleotides) under Hevea brasiliensis (rubber tree). The record is from RNAcentral. Lineage: Eukaryota; Viridiplantae; Streptophyta; Magnoliopsida; Malpighiales; Euphorbiaceae.
UUGCAAUGCAUGUAUUUUGUUUUCGUUCUACUUAACUUGCAAUGCAUACUAUCUGUCCUAUGAAUUUCUGUGUCCGUCACUACUGAAGCCUUCUCUAAAAAAAAAGGCAGCAACCACAAUAAUAUCCUAUUGAAGCCAAAGGAUCAAUAACAGAUAUUGAUAAAUUAAGUUUUGUUUUCUGUUUGCCCUUCCAUGGUCAUUUUUAUUGACCAGCAAAUUUUUGGGAUGA